RNAcentral lists this transfer RNA (77 nucleotides) under Chloroflexi bacterium ADurb.Bin360. RNAcentral describes it as "tRNA-Trp". Lineage: Bacteria; Bacillati; Chloroflexota. The record is from RNAcentral.
GAACGCCUGGGUUGGAACCUGCCGCGCUUCCAGAGCGCCGCGACUGGCGAUACCUGGACGCUGCUGGUGGCGGUCGC